Molecule: long non-coding RNA, 768 nt
Filed under: Junco hyemalis (dark-eyed junco)
Lineage: Eukaryota; Metazoa; Chordata; Aves; Passeriformes; Passerellidae
Description: lncRNA (ENSJHYG00000015530.1)
Source: RNAcentral
CAAACACAGAAGUAGAGAGCAACAUGGCCUUUCAAGGAACACAGGGCUGUUUUGUGCUAUCAAAAUCUCCUGUAUCCCUCUAAGGAGAAACAGGAUUUCCUCCACGAUAUGCUCUUCUUAAGCGCUGCCCUUCAUUCUGGACCAUGAAAAUUAGCAGCAAAAACACUCCUGAUGAAAUGAACCAAGACCCAUCACAGCUGUCCUGUUCUUUGGCGAUUUUGAACACCAUGUUCUUUUAUUCAUUUUCUUUGAGAGCAUUGUGUGUUGCUGACUUUUCAAAAGUUCUUCAUUGACAUGCACCCCAACAUGAUGGCUGAUGAAACACACCAGAAUUGGAAAAUCUCUGUUCAAGUCAGUGGGCCAACAUUCAGAGAGCUGCCAUCCAACUGCAGUCCAAUUUUUCAUGCCUUCAUUAGUCAGCUGAAUGGGCCUGGGGAGGAAGAUUUGACCCUUUCACUGCAGGAAGAAUGCUAUAAUUACUAUGAAAGUAAAAAGAACUUGUCCUUUAGGUUACAUAACCCAUAUUCCUGCUGUCUUACGUAACUAUGGAGUAUUAAAUAAUACGUAAUUGAAUGAAAGUUGCAACACUGGGCUCGAAAAUUUGCUGAAAUAAUUAAUAUCACCAGUCAUUAUAUUGAUUUAUACACUCGGUAUUCUAGACAGAGCCAACCACUGUAGGUUAUUAUCCUUGUGAAUCAAUGUAUUCAACUGCUGUGCACAAACAAAGGGAAAAGUCAAAGAAUAUAAUUUGUAACAUUUGCAGCUGAA